UACGAAGGGGGCUAGCGUUGCUCGGAAUUACUGGGCGUAAAGCGCGUGUAGGCGGUCACGCAAGUCAGGUGUGAAAGCCCAGGGCUCAACCCUGGAAGUGCACAUGAUACUACGUGGCUGGAGUACUGAAGAGGAGAGCGGAAUUCCCGGUGUAGAGGUGAAAAUUCGUAGAUAUCGGGAGGAACACCGGUGGCGAAGGCGGGUCUCUGGGCCGAAACUGACGCUGAGGAGCGAAAGCGUGGGGAGCAAACAGG
This 254-nucleotide ribosomal RNA is filed under the name uncultured bacterium. RNAcentral describes it as "partial 16S ribosomal RNA". It matches the Rfam family "Bacterial small subunit ribosomal RNA", at positions 524 to 776 of the family's 1533-position model. The record is from RNAcentral.